CUUUGUAAAGGCGGGGGCGGCUGCCUCUAUAUAUCUGUCAUUCUUCUCUCUCUCUCUCUCUCUUAAGUCUUACCAUUCGCAUUGUAAAGCCGCCCAUCGACUCCUCGAGCUCGAUCGCUCGCCGCCAAGAACUACAAGCCAUGGAGACGGCGUCGGCCGCGUCCGUCCAGGGCCCCAGCGCGGCGCCGUGGGCGGACAUGGACACGGACUGCCUGGUUCACGUGUUCGGGCGCCUCGACCUGGAGGACCUGGCGGCGGCGGCCCCGCUCGUGUGCCGGGGCUGGCGCCGGGCCGCCGCCGAACCGUCCCUGUGGCGCGCCCUCGACCUGCGCCGGGACCACGUCGCGCGCUUCAUGCCCUGGGGCGCGCUCGCCGCCGCCUUCGCGCGCCGCUACGCCGUGCGCGGCUUCUCGCUCGCGGGCUUCCUCAGGAUCUGCGUGUGGCGCGCGCGCGGCUCCGCCGAGGACGUCGCGCUCCCGCCGCUCCUCGCCGAGCCGGCGCACGAGAUCGACCACAUUUCGCUCCGGUGCCCCAGGUUGCGGCGCCUGGCGCUCCCGCACCUGACGGUCGGCGACGAGGCGCGCCUGCCGGACCUCGUCCCGCGGUGGCCGCUGCUGGAGCAUCUGGAGCUGGAGACAAAGCCGUCGUCCUCCUCCUUCCCGGCGCUCGCCGCGCAGGUCGCGCUGCACUGCCCGGCCUUCGCCAGCCUCAAGACCUCGGGGGCCUUCAAGCGCGAGGACGCCGCGGCGCUGGCGCGCUCCCUGCCCAGGCUCCGCUCCCUCUGCGUCGACCGCUCCUACCUGCCCAAGGAGCAGCUUCUCGCCAUCCUCGCCGCCUGCAGGGACCUGCGGGAGUUCAGCGCGCGCAGCUGCGUUGGCUUCGACGACGAGGACGAGGAGGUGCUCAGGCACGGGGCCAGGAUCCUGCGGUUCGACGUCGGAGGGUCGAAGCUGGUGGACGAACUAGACGACGAGUUCCCCGGCGGUGGCGGUUUCUGCGACUCGUCCUACGUUGACGUGAUGUGAUCUCUGUCGCUGGUGCUCGCGGUCGCGGCGCGGCUGCUAAGUGACAGAGCCCACACAUAAGUACACAACAUAAUUAAUGCAGUUUGGAUUUCAUUCUAUUGUAUGAGCAGGGGAAUUAUACUAUUAUUAUUGUAUUUAGAGGCGUUUGGUUUCUAAAAAUAAUUUUUAGUCUAUUAUUUUAUUUAAUUUUAGUCUCUAAAAUGUUAAAUACGAAAACUAAAAUAAAACUUUACCUUUC
RNAcentral lists this unclassified non-coding RNA (1263 nucleotides) under Zea mays. Its description in RNAcentral is "misc RNA Zm00001eb050820". Lineage: Eukaryota; Viridiplantae; Streptophyta; Magnoliopsida; Poales; Poaceae. The record is from RNAcentral.